This 67-nucleotide transfer RNA is filed under the name Marmota monax (woodchuck). Its description in RNAcentral is "tRNA.Ala". Lineage: Eukaryota; Metazoa; Chordata; Mammalia; Rodentia; Sciuridae. The record is from RNAcentral.
GGUUUUGGCUCAGUGGUAAAGUGCUUGCCUAGCAUGCAUGAGGCACUAGGUUCAAUCCACAGCACCA